This 358-nucleotide ribosomal RNA is filed under the name uncultured bacterium. RNAcentral describes it as "bacterial SSU rRNA". It matches the Rfam family "Bacterial small subunit ribosomal RNA", at positions 29 to 414 of the family's 1533-position model. The record is from RNAcentral.
AACGAACGCUGGCGGCAUGCCUAACACAUGCAAGUCGAACGAGACCUUCGGGUCUAGUGGCGCACGGGUGCGUAACACGUGGGAAUUUGCCUCGGGGUAUGGAAUAAACUCAGGGAAACUUGAGCUAAUACCAUAUAAUGUCUUCGGACCAAAGAUUUAUCGCCCUGAGAUAAGCCCGCGUAGGAUUAGCUAGUUGGUGAGGUAAAGGCUCACCAAGGCGACGAUCCUUAGCUGGUCUGAGAGGAUGAUCAGCCACACUGGGACUGAGACACGGCCCAGACUCCUACGGGAGGCAGCAGUGGGAAUAUUGGACAAUGGGCGAAAGCCUGAUCCAGCAAUGCCGCGUGAGUGAUGAAGG